GUCCUAGGGUUAUUGAGGUGAAGCAGGAGGAGCAGUACUCAUGCUGGGGAACUUAACAGAGGAAGGGGAGAAAUCUCACAGCUGUGCAGAGGACCUGCUGUAGCCUGGAGAGUAUCUGGUUGUCUCAGGCUUCAACCGAUGUUUUCAGGAAGCUUUCUUUCCAUGCUGAAAGAGAUUGUGAAGAGAAACUUCUGAGAGUUUGUGCAAACUGUAAUGGCUUCUCCACCUAAGUAAGCAGAUGCAUAUUUGGGGCAGUGACGAAUUGCAUUGCCACAAGACUGCUUUCUACAGGCAAGACUUGUUUCUUCCACGUGUUUUUGCAGACUUAAGAGAUGUGUGGGUUUGCAGUCCGUAUAGGCUGAAGAAAUGUAAGUGAAAAUAAAGUUCCAGACUGCAUGGCA
Molecule: long non-coding RNA, 401 nt
Filed under: Numida meleagris (helmeted guineafowl)
Lineage: Eukaryota; Metazoa; Chordata; Aves; Galliformes; Numididae
Description: lncRNA (ENSNMEG00000018615.1)
Source: RNAcentral